UGAAUAUCCUUUCUGGGCUGGAGUGAUUGAAUGUUUAGUAUACUUGCCUCAGACUCUUUCGUUACUUCAUUUGCCAGUUGGAUGAAACCAGAGUGGCAUCAAAGACCAUGAUGGUAGAGCCGUGAGAUGGAAUCAGAUUGUUGAGAGAGAGUAUCUCAUGUGUAUUCAUCUUUAAUGUAUCCUGACCUCAGAUAGACCCAGAGAGAGGUUUCAUCAAAAGAGUAGGUGACAACUUGACUAAGUCUUGGGGACACAUAUGGAACAGAGGACAUGAUAUUCAAGCAAGAGGAGCCCCAUGGAGGAAAAGGUCAGCUGCAGAACCAAGGGCAUGCUGUUUCACAGGGAUCAGCCCUGCUCCCAGCUGCAGGUGACAGAAAAGUCAGCUCAAAGUGGCUACCAAAACAAGAAACCCCACUGACAUUCGGACUGGAAAUCAGAAGUGGGAGGCUUGGAUCCAGCAGUCCAUCAGGGACCCAGGCUCUUCAUGCCUCUCCUCUCUGCCCUGUGUUCUUCAUCCUAGACCUGGAUCCCCUAUGUUCUUGCGAAGGCCAUCAGGAGCCACCUGGUCAUCUGCCUCCUCUAAGAACAGAUUCACUUUGCUGUACACCUGAAACUAAUACAACACUGCAAGCCAACUAUGCUCCAAAAAAAAGAAAAAAAGGCUUUGACAGAACCUUCAGCCACCUUCUUCUUAAGUCUGACUGA
This 705-nucleotide long non-coding RNA is filed under the name Sus scrofa (pig). RNAcentral describes it as "lncRNA (ENSSSCG00025019656.1)". Lineage: Eukaryota; Metazoa; Chordata; Mammalia; Artiodactyla; Suidae. The record is from RNAcentral.